Corticium candelabrum is the source of this 273-nucleotide long non-coding RNA. RefSeq lists it as uncharacterized. The transcript is spliced from 3 exons. NCBI's taxonomy places the organism in Eukaryota, Metazoa, Porifera, Homoscleromorpha, Homosclerophorida, Plakinidae. The record is from RefSeq and is a predicted model, not a curated record.
AGUCAGGGCUUGGACACGGCGUAGUGUCUGAGGGGUGACUCGGGCUGGGAUCGUGGGUGUCCAUGUGAGUCCAUGCAAAGACAACGAAGACCAUUCUUAAAUAACAGAGGAUUAUGCUGCCUAUGUGCUCUCGAGAUUGAGGAAGCCUACAAAGCCCCAAGGUUUAGCUAGACUAGAUGGUUGAAGACAGAACUCCAAGAUACGCAGUGUACGUUCUCAACGAGAUGAGCCACCAUGCAAAUCCACACCAUGACGCUCGAUCCUCAAGUUCCA